This 379-nucleotide unclassified non-coding RNA is filed under the name uncultured Actinomycetes bacterium. Its description in RNAcentral is "uncultured actinobacterium contains 16S-23S intergenic spacer region". The record is from RNAcentral. Lineage: Bacteria; Bacillati; Actinomycetota; Actinomycetes.
UCCGAGUUGACCCCGGCAGUCUCAUAUGAGUUCCCACCAUCACGUGCUGGCAACAUACGACGAGGGUUGCGCUCGUUGCGGGACUUAACCCAACAUCUCACGACACGAGCUGACGACAACCAUGCACCACCUGUAUACGAGUGUCCAAAGAGUUCCCUAUUUCUAGGGCGUUCUCGCAUAUGUCAAGCCUUGGUAAGGUUCUUCGCGUUGCAUCGAAUUAAUCCACAUGCUCCGCCGCUUGUGCGGGCCCCCGUCAAUUCCUUUGAGUUUUAGCCUUGCGGCCGUACUCCCCAGGCGGGGCGCUUAAUGCGUUAGCUACGGCACGGAUCCCGUGGAAGGAAACCCACACCUAGCGCCCACCGUUUACGGCGUGGACUAC